Molecule: long non-coding RNA, 834 nt
Organism: Capsicum annuum
Lineage: Eukaryota; Viridiplantae; Streptophyta; Magnoliopsida; Solanales; Solanaceae
Exons: 2
Source: RefSeq, a predicted model, not a curated record
CAUUGUAUUUGGCUACCCGAACUUAGCCACUUCUAUAGAAUUGGAAAAUUGGGCUCAAACUAAUAGAUUUUGACUUUUGUGUUUAAAGACCAAGUAUUUUGUCCCUGUUGUUCAAUUGGUUUGCUAUGGUAUUCUUAUAUCCGGCAGUUUAAACCAAAUUUGAAACUUGCUCACAGGUUGCAACCUUUUAGGGAAAAUGUCGUGAAAAUUUAUCAAAUAGUGGUUUUUGGUUAGGAAGAAAAUUAUUUUCCAAAGAAAAUAUUUUGUGAAAAAUAUCAUUUAUCAGUGUUUGAUUAGGAAGGGAAACCUUGAAGUAACUGUAAAUUUGUUGUUAUGUGACCAGAAGGUCGCGGUUUAAAGUCAUGGAUAUAGCCUGUUGCAGAAAUGUGAGGUAAGGUUGUGGAUAACAAAUCCUUGUUCGGCCCUUCUUUGGACCCGUGCAAAGCGGAAGCUUUAUGCACCGAGCUAUCCUUAUGUAUAUGACAAGGUCUAAAAGUAUUGACUUAGUGAAAUCAUACAAGGUAUUGAAUCGGGCAUGUUGCAGAUGAUGUUGUAUCAUUGAUAAAUUAGUGAGAUUGAAUGAGUUUGGGAUAUUUUAGUGGUGGUGAUGAUUCUGUAGCAGUAGUGUUGCUACUUCUUUUCAUAUUGGUAAAAAUAUUCUUUUGAUAAAACGACUUCUAGAUUUUAUUAUAAUUACCCUUUGAAAAUACUUUUUUGUUUUUUGCAAAGAUGUUUAUCGCACAUUGUACUAAGCAACUAAUCUAAUGUGUUGCGUAUAGGAUCCCUUUGUGAUCUUAAACAUUUCAAUAAAGAAUAAAGUGUGUGACCUUUGAU